UACGGGGGGGGCAAGCGUUGUUCGGAAUUACUGGGCGUAAAGGGCUCGUAGGCGGCCAACUAAGUCGGAUGUGAAAUCCCCAGGCUCAACCUGGGAACUGCAUCCGAUACUGGAUGGCUUGAAUUCGGGAGAGGGAUGCAGAAUUCCAGGUGUAGCGAUGAAAUGCGUAGAUAUCAGGAGGAACACCGGUGGCGAAGGCGGAUCUCUGGGCCAUUACUGACGCUGAGGAGCGAAAGCGUGGGGAGCGAACAGG
RNAcentral lists this ribosomal RNA (253 nucleotides) under uncultured bacterium. RNAcentral describes it as "partial 16S ribosomal RNA". It matches the Rfam family "Bacterial small subunit ribosomal RNA", at positions 524 to 776 of the family's 1533-position model. The record is from RNAcentral.